CUCCAGUUCCCAAAAGAGGAAAAAAAAAAUAAAGCAAAACGCCCCACAAACCAAACAUAUGUGAUGAACCUCUUGGUUGUUCCAAAGCAGAGAGCAAACCUCAGUACCAAACAUUUGUGCAACACUCAGUGUUUGCAAACCCCGGGACUGGGAGCAAUGGGAAUGCACGGGGAUCACUGGGGUAAAUCAGUACCAUAGGUUUACAAGUGAGGAUGCAGAGAUUUGAGUAUCAAGAAGAUAAAAUUGGGAGAUUUCAUAUCAUGGGCAAGUAAUGGAUGGGGAUUCACCAGCACAGCCCUGCAGCAUCCCAGCCAAACUCCAGCAAGCUGUGGGGACACGCACAUUUUUUCCCAUUUUUUCCCCAUUUUUUUCCCAUUUUCCCCCAUCUUCUCCCAUUUUCCUCCACCUCCUCCCAUUUUUUCCUAUUGUUUCCCCAUUUUCCCUAUUUCCCCCAAUUUUUCCCCCUUUUUUUCCCAUUUUUUCCCCCAUUUUUCUUCCCCUUUGCAGCAGGCUCUGUCCGAGCUGCCGCACUCGCUCCUCCACAGCUCUUGUGCCAUCUGCCGACUGAAGGCCGCCUGCAACAUGCAGCACUGCUCGCACCCAGCACUGCCUCCUGCAGCCCCCAUGCCUCCUUCCCUCCCUGCCCUGCAUUGCGUUGCAUUGCACUGCGAGCAUCCUCGGGAACUGGGCUAAAUCACAGCAAAAGCAAAGGGGAUGGAAGGUAGCUUGGAAGAAGGAGAGGGUGGAGAGAACGCUUCCAGGCUCAAUUUCAUCACAUCAAAGCCCUGAUCAACUUCUUAGCCCUGCCCGUAGUGAUCUCUGUGCCAUCCCCGUGUGUGCAGCCCGCUCCUCAUCCCCACAUUGCUCUGAGCAUGGACCCUCCUGCCUCAUUCAGGGCCACAUUUCCAGAGCUUCAGAUGCUCCAGCAGCACAACAGGACCUUGAUGAGCUCCUUGAGAACACCAGAAAGCAGAAACCACGCAAGCAGCCACCAUAGGAACACAGUUCAGACGAGCCAGAAGGAUCCUCCUCCUGCUUUCACUUAACCUAGUUAAAACAAGGGGCAAUAUCCCUGGGUGGCUGCAAUGAAAUCA
Molecule: long non-coding RNA, 1094 nt
Filed under: Numida meleagris (helmeted guineafowl)
Lineage: Eukaryota; Metazoa; Chordata; Aves; Galliformes; Numididae
Description: lncRNA (ENSNMEG00000019515.1)
Source: RNAcentral